RNAcentral lists this transfer RNA (53 nucleotides) under Paralongidorus litoralis. RNAcentral's name for it is "tRNA-Tyr". Lineage: Eukaryota; Metazoa; Nematoda; Enoplea; Dorylaimida; Longidoridae. The record is from RNAcentral.
GACUUAUUUAUUAAUCCUGUUUGUAAAACAAGAUCAGGCGUAGCCAAGAGUCA